RNAcentral lists this ribosomal RNA (252 nucleotides) under uncultured bacterium. RNAcentral describes it as "partial 16S ribosomal RNA". It matches the Rfam family "Bacterial small subunit ribosomal RNA", at positions 524 to 776 of the family's 1533-position model. The record is from RNAcentral.
UACGUAGGUCCCGAGCGUUGUCCGGAUUUAUUGGGCGUAAAGCGAGCGCAGGUGGUUUAUUAAGUCUGGUGUAAAAGGCAGUGGCUCUACCAUUGUAUGCAUUGGAAACCGGUAGACUUGAGUGCAGGAGAGGAGAGUGGAAUUCCAUGUGUAGCGGUGAAAUGCGUAGAUAUAUGGAGGAACACCGGUGGCGAAAGCGGCUCUCUGGCCUGUAACUGACACUGAGGCUCGAAAGCGUGGGUAGCAAACAGG